This 478-nucleotide ribosomal RNA is filed under the name uncultured bacterium. RNAcentral's name for it is "partial 16S ribosomal RNA". It matches the Rfam family "Bacterial small subunit ribosomal RNA", at positions 28 to 507 of the family's 1533-position model. The record is from RNAcentral.
GACGAACGCUGGCGGCGUGCUUAACACAUGCAAGUCGAACGUGAUUUUUGUGGAAAUUCUUUCGGGAAUGGAAAUGAAAUGAAAGUGGCGAACGGGUGAGUAACACGUGAGCAACCUACCUUACACAGGGGGAUAGCCGUUGGAAACGACGAUUAAUACCGCGUGAGACCACAGAAUCGCAUGAUAUAGGGGUCAAAGAUUUAUCGGUGUAAGAAGGGCUCGCGUCUGAUUAGCUAGUUGGAGGGGUAAAGGCCUACCAAGGCGACGAUCAGUAGCCGGUCUGAGAGGAUGAACGGCCACAUUGGAACUGAGACACGGUCCAAACUCCUACGGGAGGCAGCAGUGGGGAAUAUUGCACAAUGGGGGGAACCCUGAUGCAGCGACGCCGCGUGAGCGAAGAAGGUUUUCGAAUCGUAAAGCUCUGUCCUAUGAGAAGAUAAUGACGGUAUCAUAGGAGGAAGCCCCGGCUAAAUACGUG